GUAAGAAGCAGAAACGUUAGCGUUGCCAUGGAUACAUGAGUGUUAAAUUCUGUCCAUGUUUCCAUUUUGGGAACUGCAGUCCAGUUCCAGAAUGUGGAGGAAUUUAGUCUCACAAUCACAGACAACAAAUAUUAUCUGAAAGUCGGGUUAUUGUUGUUUAUCAGCACAAUACAAAAAGAUUAAUGUUAGAAAUAUUCCAGUUAAGACUCUAGAAUAUCAUGAUUUAUGUAAAUUUACCUCAAUAAUAUGAAUGUUCAGGUUAAGAUUGUGCAGUGAUAUUUAUUCUGUAAGUUUAGCUGAUUAAAGUUUAUGACUCUGCACUAAAAUAUUAUUUAAAUUUACAUCAUUAUUAUAAUAUUUAGGGUCAGACCCUACAGUAUUGAGAUUAAGAAAUUAAAUAUUCUAUAAAGUGUAAAUACACUGAACUCAUUUGGAUAUAUUUAAGUGAGACUCUACAAUAUUAUUUGACACAAAUCUAUCUAAAUCAAAAUUUUAAUAAUUUUCACGCCAAACAUUUACCGGACUGAUUGAAAUAUUAAAAUCACUCCUUUCUAAUCCUCUGCUGUACGUUCAAACCUGAGGCCUUAAAUAGAAACACACAAGUAUCUGUUUGAAGGAACUUCUGUAGAAUCCUGGUUCCAGAACAUGAUGAUAGAAUUAUAGACAAACUUUAACAAAAGCUGCCUGAGAGUUUACAGGUUUUUAUGUUAGAUUUCUUCAGUAAUUUAAUGAGUUAUCAGCAAAAAUCAAGUGUUCAUUUGAUGAACUUCAUUUCCUAAAACAUCCAGAAUAGGAGCUCAUAUCUUUGGCAGCUGUAAAGUUUCUGCUCCUUCAAAGUUCACAACACAAUGAAUUAAUUCCUAAAACACUCUCAAUGCUGGAGAGCGUUUGAUGCUGAAGCAGUGACCAGUUUUUCUGUUUCUUCUCUGGAGAUGCACAAUGAGGGACGUCUGCAGAGACUGAGAAAGAGUCUCACCACAUCCUGACAUGAGGAAAAAGACUUUAUUGAAGACUACAAUGAGAAAAACUAUCAGACAGCAGACGGCUGCAUUCAAGUCUGUAGCUGCUGAAUUCAUGGAUGAAUCAUCUGGCACUAGAGAAGAAGACCAUCAAACAUCCACGUCAGCUGAUGGAGGUCCAAGAGUCUCACCAAACAAACAACCUACAGAGUGAAGACCUCAAAUCUGAUUGGACGGCCUCCUAUUCAGCCACAUGUGUGAACAAAUGCCUCUAAGUUGAUUUGUUUUCUAAAAUAAAUCUAGUUUGAGUCCUGAUCUAUGCCU
Amphiprion ocellaris (clown anemonefish) is the source of this 1283-nucleotide long non-coding RNA. The record is from Ensembl. NCBI's taxonomy places the organism in Eukaryota, Metazoa, Chordata, Actinopteri, Pomacentridae.